Molecule: ribosomal RNA, 253 nt
Filed under: uncultured bacterium
Lineage: Bacteria
Description: partial 16S ribosomal RNA
Rfam family: Bacterial small subunit ribosomal RNA
Source: RNAcentral
UACGUAGGUGGCAAGCGUUGUCCGGAUUUACUGGGCGUAAAGAGCGCGCAGGCGGUCGUUCAAGUCGCGUGUGAAAGCCCCCGGCUCAACUGGGGAGGGUCACGCGAUACUGAUCGACUCGAAGGCAGGAGAGGGUAGUGGAAUUCCCGGUGUAGAGGUGAAAUUCGUAGAUAUUCGCAAGAACACCAGUGGCGAAGGCGGCUCACUGGCCCGAUACUGACGCUGAGGCACGAAAGCGUGGGGAGCAAACAGG